Molecule: ribosomal RNA, 507 nt
Filed under: uncultured bacterium
Lineage: Bacteria
Description: partial 16S ribosomal RNA
Rfam family: Bacterial small subunit ribosomal RNA
Source: RNAcentral
GACGAACGCUGGCGGCGUGCUUAACACAUGCAAGUCGAACGGGCCUUGUCCCCUUUUUUUUGGGGGUGGGGUUAGUGGCGAACGGGUGAGUAACACGUGAGUAACCUGCCCCUCACUUCUGGAUAACCGCUUGAAAGGGUGGCUAAUACGGGGUGUUCUGGCCUGCUCGCAUGGGUGGGUUUGGAAAGAUUCGACCGGUUUUGGUUGUUUUGGUGGGGGAUGGGCUCGAGGCCUGUGAGCUUGUUGGUGGGGUGAUGGCCUGCCAAGGCUUUGCCGGGUAGCCGGCCUGAGAGGGUGGGCGGUCACACUGGGAGUGAGACGCGGCCCAGACUCCUACGGGAGGCAGCAGUGGGGAAUAUUGCACAAUGGGCGCAAGCCUGAUGCAGCGACGCCGCGUGAGGGAUGGAGGCCUUCGGGUUGUGAACCUCUUUCGCCAGUGAAGAAGGUCCUGCUCUUUGUGGUGGGGUUGACGGUAGCGGGGUUAAUGAAGCGCCGGCUAACUACGUG